This is a long non-coding RNA of Callorhinchus milii (elephant shark), 302 nucleotides long. RefSeq lists it as uncharacterized. The transcript has 3 exons. Lineage: Eukaryota; Metazoa; Chordata; Chondrichthyes; Chimaeriformes; Callorhinchidae. The record is from RefSeq and is a predicted model, not a curated record.
CUCCAUAUGCGUCUGUUUACCUGGCAGAAUCAACAAGCAAAUGUGUGAGUAACUAAGAAACAAACCACAGAAGAGGAAGAAUAGAAAGGAAUAAGAUUAAAUCAAAAGUAGAAGAAGCUACAAACGUAAAUGCAACAAGGAGACUGAAAAAGAAAUGUCAGAGGAAUUUAGCAUUUGCAAAUACCAUUGGGAAGGAGAAAUAAUACCAAGCAUGAGGCCAUCACUGAACCUAGUUUAAAUGCUUGACUCCCUGGACUAAAAUAGAAGUGAGCUACUGAGGAUUCUUACUCUGCAUUCAUCCA